GGGUGGGGGGUUGAGGGUUCUUGUGUGAAUUGAUUUGGGGGGUUGAGGGUUCUUGUGUGAAUUGAUAUAGUAUAAUUCAGUCGGCAAAACUAAAACAGAGUAAUUCAGAACUUGAGAUGUGUUAUGCAAGAGAGAGAAGAGAGAUAGGAAGAGAGAAAGAGGGCAAAACUGGGAUUAAUACAUGAGAUAUGUAAAAUAUCAACCAUUUUUUUGUUAGGUGUUAGUUUUUGAAUUUUAAUAUUUUUAUGUGUUUCUUUUACAAAUUUUCUCUAAUAUGUGUCACUUUACUUGAAUUUUUUUAAAAUCAUGGAUUGUGCGGGACGCAGGGAAAUCAUAUAUAUGAAAGUUGGCCAACUCUCUCCCACAACUUGACACAUCAGCACAUAAGAGUUUGCCAUCUAGACUUCAUAAAAUAAAUAAUACAUAAUUAGUAAUCAAUUCAACAUAAAAACUAAAAUAGGAGGAUAUAAUUAAUCAGAACUUGAACAUCACUCUUUCUACAUUUUUUUAAUUCAAUAUAUCCUCUUUAAUUUUGAGAUCCAAACAUGUUACACAUAUUCCUUGCCUAAAAAUUAGACGAUUAUUAUAAAAGAAACUAAAUGAAUAUGCAGAUUAAAUAUAUCUAAGCUUUUCGAGAUUUAUGCUAAGAAAACAAGUAAUUUGAAAGAUGUUUGAGGAGCUAUCCUUAUGACUAAUACGUAAGAUAUAAGAUUAUGACAAGAACUUAACUAAACUUUCCAAGAACAUCAAGUUGAAUAUGAUUAGAUUGGAUAUGCAGAAACAUGAUUAAUAAAGACAUGUUAUAUUUUUAAUGUAAGAAAUAAAUUUUCUAAAAUUUCACCGUCUCACAAACUAAAUAUAUAACCAAAAGAACAAGGAUAUAUAAAUAAAUAAAUAAACUGAGAAUCUAGAACAACAAUAAAAAACAACUCAAGCACUUUCGUUUUCAGAUGAACUAAUAUAGUUGGAGUU
This 972-nucleotide small RNA is filed under the name Arabidopsis thaliana (thale cress). RNAcentral describes it as "ATSL167920". Lineage: Eukaryota; Viridiplantae; Streptophyta; Magnoliopsida; Brassicales; Brassicaceae. The record is from RNAcentral.